Non-coding RNA from Malus domestica (apple), 1281 nucleotides. NCBI's taxonomy places the organism in Eukaryota, Viridiplantae, Streptophyta, Magnoliopsida, Rosales, Rosaceae. The record is from RefSeq and is a predicted model, not a curated record.
UAGCCAAGUUUGAUGACCUACUGUUCUUUGGCGAGGGGAUGGGUUACCGAGAGAGAGCCUUCAGCUUGCAAAAGAGGGAGAGAGAGAAGAAGAGAGAGCCUGAAGAAUUCCAACGCUUCUCCUGAACGAGGCUUAGCUGAGCAAUUCCACUUCUCUCUCUCACAAAUCUGCUUUCGUCGCUCUCGACUUCUGCUUCCAUCUCACAGAGGGUAGAGUUGCUAUUGGUCAGAUGGAGGAAUGGGUGUGAGAUUCGGUGAGAGGAAGAAGAGGGAGGAGCAGGGAGAUGGGCUCGAGUCCGCGAACGGCAGAAGAGAUCUUCAGGGAUUACAGUGCUCGGAGAACCGACGCCGUCCACGCUUUAACUAACAGUACUCCGAUCUCUCUCUCCUCAGUUUCUCUCUCCUAGGGUCUAGACGAGUCUACCUGCUAUGGUGAAGAUGGAAGAUGCUAAGCCUGAAGUUUCAGCUUCCAACAAUUCAAAUUCCGAGAGCUGCGAUUCUGGUCUUCUCCAAGAUCGAUUUACUUAUUUGUGCAAGAUGGUAUUUGUCAUUGGACGAGAACUCUUACAAGCAAGCUGCAAAUAUGUUCAAAGAAACCAAGAUCUGUUAAUAUCAAAUGCUUCAGCUAUUGGCAAUGGAACAGCCCUUGAGAUGGCAGUCCUCAACUUGAGUUGUGUGACUCAAAAGAUGGGGCAAGUUGCCUUCAAUGCUAUUGUCAAUGGCUCGGGUGCUCAAAAGAUCUGUACAAUAUGGUUUUGGCAAUACUGUGGGUAUUGGGGUGAAUAUCAUAAAAGCAAACUUGUGUAACUAUAGAUCUGCAAAUGUUUGGUAGAUAGAGCAAUUUGGGAAUUUGUUCACCGAAACAUCUACGGAUAUCAUGUAUAUCAUUUUGUUUUUUACGUGAAUGUUGGUUGUUGAAUGCCUUAUCAUUUUGGUUUUUAACUUGCCAUUGUUUAUCUAUAUCCAAAAUGAGUCUGAAUCUUUUCAAAUAAAUGUUACUUUCCGAUUUGAGAAUCUGUAAUUCACUUUUUAUUGGUCAUUUCCUAUAUAUUUGAUUUAUAGAGCUCCUGGGUUGUCAAUUGUGACUACUCCUCACAUGGAUUAUAGCACUUAUGCAAACUUCAGAGCAUACAGGAAAUCAAUGUUUUCCAUUUUGGGUACAAAGAACCAAAUAUGUUAUCUAUGUCCUUAAUGAACUUAUUACUUUUAAUUGUUUAGUUUAACCGAUGUUUGGAUGCUUAAAAAUAUUCUUUGUUUUUAGUUCAUUCUGCUCCGCAGUUUA